RNAcentral lists this transfer RNA (61 nucleotides) under uncultured Georgenia sp. It matches the Rfam family "tRNA", at positions 6 to 65 of the family's 71-position model. From Rfam's summary of the family: Transfer RNA (tRNA) molecules are approximately 80 nucleotides in length. Their secondary structure includes four short double-helical elements and three loops (D, anti-codon, and T loops). Lineage: Bacteria; Bacillati; Actinomycetota; Actinomycetes; Allobogoriellales; Allobogoriellaceae. The record is from RNAcentral.
CGUAGCUCAACGGCAGAGCAUCCGACUGUUAAUCGGACGGUUGCUGGUUCGAAUCCAGCCG